CAAGCAGUGUUUCCAGAUGCAGAAGAAUGAACUCACCUGACAUUGUCAUUUUAAAAUCUUUUUCUGAGGUUUGCUGCUGAUCUUUUAACAGGGCGUGAUUCAAACCGUGCUGCUCUGCUGUGGGUGGCAUGUGUCCCUGGUCCCCCACUGUGUGCACAGCCUGAUGGGGACACUGGCUGGGACAGGCUGCCUUGCAAGGACAUCAGGAAUCUCCACCCUUGAGCGGGGAAAUGUCCCUGCUCCAGACCUCUCCUACUACUCACUUCUAUCCUUUUUUUUUUUUUCUUUUUUUUUUUUUUUUUUUUUUUUUUCUUUUCAUUCCAGUGGAUUGCGGAGAUCAUCCGGGUGAUAAAACCUCUCUUUUUUCUUUUUCUCCUACUAAAUGAGGCUUUCCCCUUAAACCACAUCAAUUCCCAGGCACCCUGCAGAGGACAGGGGAUGGGGACCCAGCUGAAGCAGCCCUGCAUGUGAGACCACAGCUUUAAUGCCCUUCUCUCUUUUCUUCCUAUAGCAGAACUGAGGGAUUCUCAGACAUCCUUGUAAAGAUGUCUGAGAAUCUUGCACAUGCCUGCAAGAUCUGAAUUUGCAGUCAGUGGAGCUGGAUGCAGCCACGGUGGCAACAAGGAGGAGUUGCAUGGCCAUGUGGACACACCUGCAGUGCCAGUCCUGAGGUGGGAUCGCAGCCCAGAGGAGCAAAGUUGCAUCAAUAAAAACCUGGCUCAGGGGGUGAAGACCAGUUUGGAGAUGACCUGACAUCUUCACAUCUUACACAUGAUCACCACCACUCUUGCAGCAGGGAUGAAAUGCCUCCCAAGGAGUCCCCAGGGCAUGGCUGCUGUCCCCAGGAAAAGGUGAGAAAUUGGGCACUGACAUGGAGACUUGCCCCAGAGCACAAAAUUAAUGCAUGAACAAAUCUGGAAGAGGUUUUCACUUGGGGAGCAGAAACCCCUCAUUUGCAACAUAAUCCAGUGCCACCUAGCUGGGAAAAGAGUCUGUGAAGAAAAAAAUGGCCCAAAAUUUCUGCUCACCUCCAGACUUUGGUGGUGGAUUAUUUUUUCUGUCACUGAGAGAUGAUUGACUGUGACCUUUUUGAGAGCAAGGAAUUGUCAGGAGCUCCAGAUUCCAAGGUUGGAGUGUGCACUGCAACAGGCACCCUGUGGCAAAGAUUAACAAUAGCUUUUUAGCAUCACCUGCAGCUUUUUCUUCUCUCAGGUUUGUGUCCUGGUCUGUGAGACAGUCUCUGGAUUCAUCAUGAUGAUGUUGAGUGGCAAACACAUGACUGUAUUAAAUCUGUGGGAUUUGUAAUGGCAUUUUUUCCUCCAGCAGCACAUCCCUGAAUUCAAACCAGGCAAGGCUUUCUCUGCAUAAUAACUGCAUGUGACUGGCAGCCUCUGCACAGAGUCUGCUCUUGGUGGGAUAAUGGAGCAUGUGCCUGAUACAAGAAGUACUGCCUUUGGCCAGUACGUUGGUGUAGAGCUUUAGGAAAGAUUUUACACCAAAAAUCCCCAUUUUGGAGUAAGCUGGCUGCAUGUUUUCACUUUCCCUGGUAAUUACCAGCUCCCUGUGUCAUCAUGUCUGUUUCAGUGGCUUUUGAAACCACCACGUUGCCUUCUUCAGCU
RNAcentral lists this long non-coding RNA (1619 nucleotides) under Cyanistes caeruleus (blue tit). RNAcentral's name for it is "lncRNA (ENSCCEG00000010979.1)". Lineage: Eukaryota; Metazoa; Chordata; Aves; Passeriformes; Paridae. The record is from RNAcentral.